Molecule: transfer RNA, 73 nt
Filed under: Gemmatimonadota bacterium
Lineage: Bacteria; Pseudomonadati; Gemmatimonadota
Description: tRNA-Gln
Rfam family: tRNA
About the family: Transfer RNA (tRNA) molecules are approximately 80 nucleotides in length. Their secondary structure includes four short double-helical elements and three loops (D, anti-codon, and T loops).
Source: RNAcentral
UGGCCCGUGGUGGAAUUGGCAACACGCUUGGCUCUGACCCAAGAGAUUCCAGGUUCGAACCCUGGCGGGCCAA